CGAGCCCUCAUUUACAUAUCCAACAAAGAUCAUUUUUGCCAUUUUUAUCAACUAUGUGGCUGCUGGAGAGCUAUGGGAACGGGUAAAAAGGGGAAAAUGUGAUGACAGACUCCCUUUAAGGUUUUAAUUUUUUUUAAAUUUACAAAUAAAUUAUUUCAUUUGUAUGUACCUGAAGAGUACAUAGUUGUUGGUACUGCACCUCAUCUGUGGAACGUGUACAGCUCCUCGAAGCUUCUACACCACUAAAUGCGGUUUAAAGAAGGCUUCCUAAUUUAGUAAAUGCAUAUUUCCCCUUUAAAAAAAAUGUAAAAAAUCUUUAACACACAUAGUGGUUAAGGGGGUUGACCAGGAUUAGAAAAACAUAGCUUGGGCCUAUUUCACGCAUCAGUGAAUCAAGUACCUAUGCUGUCUGUGGUCUCCAUGGACUUUUAUGUUUGUAUUCACACAUCAGUGGUUUUCCAUGGACCGUGAGUCAGUGGUGACACCAUGGAAGCAUGUCCUAUUUUGUCCUUGAUUACGGAUCCCUCACGCAUGAUGUCCCUGAAAAGCACAGACACCAUCCAUGUUUGGUCCAUUGUUUCACAAAUUGUUGCUAGGAGAUGCUCUGGAAACUAAUUUUCAGCCUAGCAGUGUCCAUAGACUACAGAUGACACACAUUCCAAACACAGCUCCUUCAUGGACAUCUUCAUGGAUGAACCACUGAUCAUCUUGUCAACACCUUGGAUUGUGUCUGGUAUUACAUCUCCACCCAAUAAAGUGUCUGAUGUUGAGCUGUAAUGCCUAACAUAGCCUGUGGACAGGUGCUGGUUUUGGAAGACAGCAGCCAUGUUUCUCUAAUCUAAGCAAGACCUGAAUUAUACAGCCCCUCAGAAGACAAUACAUUUUUGUGUGCAGUGUCCAUAAUUAGGAGUUUUCUUCUGUGCACACCAUCGCCCCCUGCUGAACCCAUUUAAAAUAUAUACAAUAAAUGUUUGAGUUGACUCGCACUCAAAUGUUAAAACUGCCCCCAUAAAAAAAAUUGUGUGGCUGGCUACACAGUUGAGACUCCAACAAAAAGGUGUCU
This is a long non-coding RNA of Bufo bufo (common toad), 1063 nucleotides long. RefSeq lists it as uncharacterized. The transcript is spliced from 2 exons. Lineage: Eukaryota; Metazoa; Chordata; Amphibia; Anura; Bufonidae. The record is from RefSeq and is a predicted model, not a curated record.